Molecule: ribosomal RNA, 442 nt
Filed under: uncultured eukaryote
Lineage: Eukaryota
Description: SSU rRNA
Rfam family: Eukaryotic small subunit ribosomal RNA
Source: RNAcentral
CUUACCGGCGCGGUGGCCUGGUCUUCAUUGAUCAAGCUCGCUGUCGCUGGAGACUCCACGUCCGCUGGCUCCUAGUCCUCGUGGCUAGGGUUUUGUGGACAAUUACCAUGAGCAAAUCAGAGUGUUUAAAGCAGGCUUUUAAGCUUGAAUGUGUUAGCAUGGAAUAAUGAAAUAUGACUUUAGUCCUAUUUUCGUUGGUUUAGGUACUAUAGUAAUGAUUAAUAGAAACGGUUGGGGGCAUUUGUAUUUGGCCGCUAGAGGUGAAAUUCUUGGAUUGGCCGAAGACAAACUACUGCGAAAGCAUUUGACCCAGGACGUUUUCAUUGAUCAAGGUCUAAAGUUAAGGGAUCGAAGACGAUUAGAUACCGUCGUAGUCUUAACCACAAACUAUGCCGACUAGAGAUUGGGCGUGUUUCUUUUGACUCGCUCAGCAUCUUAGCGA